RNAcentral lists this microRNA precursor (105 nucleotides) under Gossypium hirsutum (cotton). Its description in RNAcentral is "MIR7504 microRNA precursor family". It matches the Rfam family "MIR7504 microRNA precursor family", at positions 10 to 115 of the family's 124-position model. The record is from Rfam by way of RNAcentral. RNAcentral also lists the same sequence under 1 other name. Lineage: Eukaryota; Viridiplantae; Streptophyta; Magnoliopsida; Malvales; Malvaceae.
AUGACAAAUCAGAUUUUUCCUACUGAUUUUCGGCUUUUUCCUCCUGAAAAAUUUCAAAUCCAACUAAAAAUGUUAAAGAUCAGGAGAAAAAAUCUGACUUAUCAU